RNAcentral lists this ribosomal RNA (567 nucleotides) under Stylophora pistillata. RNAcentral's name for it is "partial 16S ribosomal RNA". It matches the Rfam family "Bacterial large subunit ribosomal RNA", at positions 1837 to 2583 of the family's 2925-position model. The record is from RNAcentral. Lineage: Eukaryota; Metazoa; Cnidaria; Anthozoa; Scleractinia; Pocilloporidae.
UGAUCUUUAUAAAAGGUGAAACCUGCCCGAUGGUUGUAUCUUAAUAUGUUUGUCUCGCUUACUAAUAAAGACAAUUAAAUGGCCGCGGUAACACUGACUGUGAUAAUGUAGCGUAAUCAAUUGUCAAUUAAUUGUUGACCGGUAUGAAUGGUACCCCGAAAGUUUUUCUGUCUUAAAAAAAUAUUCAAUGAAAUUAAAUUUGUAGUGAAGAUGCUACAUUUUAAUUGUUAGACGAGAAGUCCCCAUGGAGCUUUACUGUUAGCUUAUAUAUAUAAUUUUUUUUUUUUUAUAAGCAAGACAGUUUUGUUGGGGCGACAGUUUUUUAAAAAGUAACGAAAAUGAACUAUGACGCAUGUUUAACUUUGAAAUUUUUUUAAUUGAUGAGACAUUUUUGGUGUGUUUUUUGAUCCGUUAUUUUGAAUGAAAAAAAUAACGAAAACAGAUAAAAGUUACCCUGGGGAUAACAGCGCAAUGAUGUUUGAGAGUUAAUUAACGACAGUGUUUGCGACCUCGAUGUUGAAUUGUAACGUCCUACGGUGUAGUCACUCGUAAGGGUUGGUUUGUUCA